Molecule: long non-coding RNA, 648 nt
Organism: Talpa occidentalis (Iberian mole)
Lineage: Eukaryota; Metazoa; Chordata; Mammalia; Eulipotyphla; Talpidae
Exons: 3
Source: RefSeq, a predicted model, not a curated record
UCUCCUAUAGGUUCAAGUUUCCGCUGCUAUCCACAUUAGAGCCUUCCUGUGAAAUGGAGUAAAAUGAAGAAGCAGUUACUAUUGAUUUAUAUGGAAAAAAUCUUGCAUUUUCCCAGGCCCUGAAAAUAGCUUACCAAAUCAUAGAUUAUGUACCCUGCCCCCCCCCACAAAAUACAAAGAAGCUGCAAAUGCAGUCCUAGUUUCUGGGAAUCUUGCAUGAUACCACUACACCAGCGGCGCUGUUUGCAGUCCUAGUUUCUGGAAGUCAAGUAUGCUGUUGGAGAAAGAGCCAGAUCUACCUCAUCAAAAAGCAAUGCCCUGGAGAACUACAGGGCCUGCGGCUGACUUGCACAUGAAUUUGGUACAGCCUACAGGACAACAGAAGAAAAUGAAAUGAAUUCUCACAGACCUUCUCAGUUCUAGAAUACUGCAAGACAGUGCUGUAAGAAUCUUCUGACUGCAAGAAAACGGGCAAUGAAAACUUCUCACUGACUUGAAGACCUUACUCCUCAGAUCAGAAAUGCUUAUCAUUGUGGAAAAUAACCUGUGGACAAUUAAAUCAUCCCAUUAGAUAAGAGUGAGGGCUCUCCUGCAGCCUGGCUGGGACUAAAGUCUCAGUGAUAGAAUAAAAUGACUGUGGUUGUCAGA